Molecule: long non-coding RNA, 627 nt
Organism: Salvia splendens (bonfire salvia)
Lineage: Eukaryota; Viridiplantae; Streptophyta; Magnoliopsida; Lamiales; Lamiaceae
Exons: 2
Source: RefSeq, a predicted model, not a curated record
GUAUUUUUUUUAUUUCAAGUUUUAUCAAUAAAUUGCUGGUGCAAAUUCCAGCAAAUUGAAGUAAUUUUGAAUUUGCAGUAUUUAUUACACAUCGCUCCGCUCCGCUCCGGAAAACCAAUUCAACACUGGAGACUGCAGAAUACGAAUCCCCAAAUUAUGACGAAAUUUAAGCCUCCAUCGAAGCGAAUAAAAACCGACCCCUCAAUUUCUUCCAGCUAUUUGCUUUUCAGGCAUAUCGCAAGAUCCUAAUUUUAGGCAAACAUGGUUUUCUUGAUUUUUGGUUAGUUAACAGAAGAGUGUUAUGUGUGUGAUAUCAGCAGCUCAAAAGGGAUUCAACAGGCAAGGGAUUAUGCAGUUGCCCAAGCGAAGCAAGAUGGUUGUACUGGAAACUUUAGAGUAUUCGACUCCCCAUUUGGAAAUUUUCUAGUUCCUGUGAUUCCAACUCGUGCACAACUUGGUGGAUUAGAUGAGACUUCUUCUGCUUGUAUUCCUACUAACACUGCUGGACUGUAAUUCAAGUUUUUCUCUCUUAUGCUGUAGAUUUCUUGGAUAUUUUCUUUUUGCUUGAAAAUGAUGACACAACUCGAAAUUUAUGUUUUCAGUUAACCAGAUGACAUUAUUACAGCA